This 107-nucleotide small nucleolar RNA is filed under the name Gossypium arboreum. Its description in RNAcentral is "Plant small nucleolar RNA R71". It matches the Rfam family "Plant small nucleolar RNA R71". From Rfam's summary of the family: R71 is a member of the C/D box family of snoRNAs containing the C (UGAUGA) and D (CUGA) box motifs. Multiple nearly identical copies of this snoRNA have been identified in Arabidopsis, and it is thought to function as a 2'-O-ribose methylation guide for 18S ribosomal RNA. The record is from Rfam by way of RNAcentral. RNAcentral also lists the same sequence under 1 other name. Lineage: Eukaryota; Viridiplantae; Streptophyta; Magnoliopsida; Malvales; Malvaceae.
AUGCCAUGAUGAGGGCACUUUCGUAAUAACUCCUUGAACCGCUCCCACACUUCAUAUAAAGAUUCUUCAUCAAGUUGUUGAAAUGAAGUGAUUUCAUUUUGGAUCUU